This 778-nucleotide ribosomal RNA is filed under the name uncultured beta proteobacterium. RNAcentral describes it as "bacterial SSU rRNA". It matches the Rfam family "Bacterial small subunit ribosomal RNA", at positions 40 to 800 of the family's 1533-position model. Lineage: Bacteria; Pseudomonadati; Pseudomonadota; Betaproteobacteria. The record is from RNAcentral.
GGGCAUGCUUUACCCCUUGCAAGUUCGAACGGGUAACCGGUUCUUCGGAAUGCUUGAACGAGUGGCGAACCGGUGAGUUAAUACCAUCGGGAACCGGCCCGAUCGUGGGGGGAUAACGAACGCUAAACGCUUUGCUAAUACCGCAUACGAGUCUACGGAUGAAAGCAGGGGACCGCAAGGCCUUGCGCGAACGGAGCGGCCGAUGGCAGAUUAGGUAGUUGGUGGGAUAAAAGCUUACCAAGCCGACGAUCUGUAGCUGGUCUGAGAGGACGACCAGCCACACUGGGACUGAGACACGGCCCAUACUCCUACGGGAGGCAGCAGUGGGGAAUUUUGGACAAUGGGCGAAAGCCUGAUCCAGCCAUGCCGCGUGCAAGAUGAAGGCCUUCGGGUUGUAAACUGCUUUUGUACGGAACGAAAAGACUCUGGUUAAUACCUGGGGUCCAUGACGGUACCGUAAGAAUAAGCACCGGGCUAACUACGUGCCAGCAGCCGCGGUAAUACGUAGGGUGCAAGCGUUAAUCGGAAUUACUGGGCGUAAAGCGUGCGCAGGCGGUUAUAUAAGACAGAUGUGAAAUCCCCGGGCUCAACCUGGGAACUGCAUUUGUGACUGUAUAGCUAGAGUACGGCAGAGGGGGAUGGAAUUCCGCGUGUAGCAGUGAAAUGCGUAGAUAUGCGGAGGAACACCGAUGGCGAAGGCAAUCCCCUGGGCCUGUACUGACGCUCAUGCACGAAAGCGUGGGGAGCAAACAGGAUUAGAUACCCUGGUAGUCCAAUC